RNAcentral lists this transfer RNA (69 nucleotides) under Parakontikia atrata. Its description in RNAcentral is "tRNA-Glu". Lineage: Eukaryota; Metazoa; Platyhelminthes; Tricladida; Geoplanidae. The record is from RNAcentral.
AUAAGUUUAGUGUAAUUAAGCAUAUAAGACUUUCUAUUUUAUAGUAAUUUUAAUAAAAAUUAACUUAUA